GAAAGACGUGUCGACAUCCAGUCCAUGAACCAAACCAGGAACUCCCAGCUGAAUGAUGCACCAGUCGUGACCUUCAGUGACAUGAAGGUUUGAUUCCAGACGCUGACCUGGGAUCCUCUUCCUCCUCGUCUCCCAUCCAUCCAUCCACUUUCCAAACUCUGUGAACGCAGACGGGAUGAACCGCGGAGGCUCUCGCUGUUAAAACACACAGAUGUGUGAAGAGUGAAGCAAACGUUAUUCACCUUCCCUCCCACCGUCUCGCAGGCGAGGUCAUUGAACUGCAAGAAGUCCGGUUCUGCUGCAGGCUUCGCC
Molecule: long non-coding RNA, 312 nt
Organism: Gambusia affinis (western mosquitofish)
Lineage: Eukaryota; Metazoa; Chordata; Actinopteri; Cyprinodontiformes; Poeciliidae
Exons: 3
Source: RefSeq, a predicted model, not a curated record